AUUGAACGCUGGCGGCAGGCCUAACACAUGCAAGUCGAGCGGAUGAAGGGAGCUUGCUCCUGGAUUCAGCGGCGGACGGGUGAGUAAUGCCUAGGAAUCUGCCUGGUAGUGGGGGAUAACGCCCGGAAACGGGCGCUAAUACCGCAUACGUCCUGCGGGAGAAAGGGGGGGAUCUUCGGACCUCACGCUAUCAGAUGAGCCUAGGUCGGAUUAGCUAGUUGGUGGGGUAAAGGCCUACCAAGGCGACGAUCCGUAACUGGUCUGAGAGGAUGAUCAGUCACACUGGAACUGAGACACGGUCCAGACUCCUACGGGAGGCAGCAGUGGGGAAUAUUGGACAAUGGGCGAAAGCCUGAUCCAGCCAUGCCGCGUGUGUGAAGAAGGUCUUCGGAUUGUAAAGCACUUUAAGUUAGGAGGAAGGGCAGUAAGUUAAUACCUUGCUGUUUUGACGUUACCAACAGAAUAAGCACCGGCUAACUUCGUG
Molecule: ribosomal RNA, 484 nt
Filed under: uncultured bacterium
Lineage: Bacteria
Description: partial 16S ribosomal RNA
Rfam family: Bacterial small subunit ribosomal RNA
Source: RNAcentral